Molecule: ribosomal RNA, 467 nt
Filed under: uncultured bacterium
Lineage: Bacteria
Description: partial 16S ribosomal RNA
Rfam family: Bacterial small subunit ribosomal RNA
Source: RNAcentral
GACGAACGCUGGCGGCGUGCUUAACACAUGCAAGUCGAACGGAAAGGCCCUGCUUUUGUGGGGUGCUCGAGUGGCGAACGGGUGAGUAACACGUGAGUAACCUGCCCUUGACUUUGGGAUAACUUCAGGAAACUGGGGCUAAUACCGGAUAGGAGCUCCUGCUGCAUGGUGGGGGUUGGAAAGUUUCGGCGGUUGGGGAUGGACUCGCGGCUUAUCAGCUUGUUGGUGGGGUAGUGGCUUACCAAGGCUUUGACGGGUAGCCGGCCUGAGAGGGUGACCGGCCACAUUGGGACUGAGAUACGGCCCAGACUCGUACGGGAGGCAGCAGUGGGGAAUAUUGCACAAUGGGCGGAAGCCUGAUGCAGCAACGCCGCGUGCGGGAUGACGGCCUUCGGGUUGUAAACCGCUUUCGCCUGUGACGAAGCGUGAGUGACGGUAAUGGGGAAAGAAGCACCGGCUAACUACGU